GCCUCAGUAGCUUAGUCGGUAGAGCGUGGGACUUUUAAUCCCAAGGUCGGGGGUUCGAGCCCCCCCUGAGGCG
This 73-nucleotide transfer RNA is filed under the name Syncephalastrum racemosum. It matches the Rfam family "tRNA". From Rfam's summary of the family: Transfer RNA (tRNA) molecules are approximately 80 nucleotides in length. The record is from Rfam by way of RNAcentral. Lineage: Eukaryota; Fungi; Mucoromycota; Mucoromycetes; Mucorales; Syncephalastraceae.